RNAcentral lists this ribosomal RNA (382 nucleotides) under uncultured eukaryote. RNAcentral's name for it is "partial 18S ribosomal RNA". It matches the Rfam family "Eukaryotic small subunit ribosomal RNA", at positions 592 to 976 of the family's 1831-position model. The record is from RNAcentral.
UGUAAGCGUAUACCAAAGUUGUUGCAGUUAGAACGCUCGUAGUCGGAAUUUGGCAGUUCCGGAUGUGUGCACGUCGUGUGCGCACUUCGCGGGGAUUGCUUUUGUGGUCUUGCGUAGGAUGAGGCACUUUUAUUAGUGAACGUCCUCACGCAACCACUUUUUACUGUGAGAAAAUCAGAGUGCUCAAAGCAGGCAUUUGCCGUGAAUGUAUUAGCAUGGAAUAAUAGAAUAGGACUCGGUUCUAUUUUGUUGGUUUGUUGGGACUGAGUAAUGAUUAAGAGGGACAGUUGGGGGCAUUUGUAUUUCGGCGCUAGAGGUGAAAUUCUUAGAUUGCCGAAAGACAAACUGCUGCGAAAGCGUCUGCCAAGGAUGUUUUCAUUGA